Molecule: ribosomal RNA, 497 nt
Filed under: uncultured bacterium
Lineage: Bacteria
Description: partial 16S ribosomal RNA
Rfam family: Bacterial small subunit ribosomal RNA
Source: RNAcentral
GACGAACGCUGGCGGCGUGCCUAAUACAUGCAAGUUGAGCGCUGAAGGUUGGUACUUGUACCAACUGGAUGAGCAGCGAACGGGUGAGUAACGCGUGGGGAAUCUGCCUUUGAGCGGGGGACAACAUUUGGAAACGAAUGCUAAUACCGCAUAAAAACUUUAAACACAAGUUUUAAGUUUGAAAGAUGCAAUUACAUCACUCAAAGAUGAUCCCGCGUUGUAUUAGCUAGUUGGUGAGGUAAAGGCUCACCAAGGCGAUGAUACAUAGCCGACCUGAGAGGGUGAUCGGCCACAUUGGGACUGAGACACGGCCCAAACGCCUACGGGAGGCAGCAGUAGGGAAUCUUCGGCAAUGGACGAAAGUCUGACCGAGCAACGCCGCGUGAGUGAAGAAGGUUGUCGGAUCGUAAAACUCUGUUGGUAGAGAAGAACGUUGGUGAGAGUGGAAAGCUCAUCAAGUGACGGUAACUACCCAGAAAGGGACGGCUAACUACGUG